This 253-nucleotide ribosomal RNA is filed under the name uncultured bacterium. Its description in RNAcentral is "partial 16S ribosomal RNA". It matches the Rfam family "Bacterial small subunit ribosomal RNA", at positions 524 to 776 of the family's 1533-position model. The record is from RNAcentral.
UACGUAGGGUCCAAGCGUUGUCCGGAAUUAUUGGGCGUAAAGAGCUCGUAGGCGGUCUGUUGCGUCGGUUGUGAAAACCUGGGGCUCAACUCCAGGCCUGCAAUCGAUACGGGCAGACUAGAGUUCGGUAGGGGAGACUGGAAUUCCUGGUGUAGCGGUGAAAUGCGCAGAUAUCAGGAGGAACACCGGUGGCGAAGGCGGGUCUCUGGGCCGAAACUGACGCUGAGGAGCGAAAGCGUGGGGAGCGAACAGG